GGCGGCCGCGGGGGGAGCGGGAGCCUUCCCUGAGGGAAGAGGAAGGGCUGAGCCGCGGCGGGAGCGGCGUGGAGGCUGACAAGGAGGAGACAAGCCUAAUGAGUUGUCAACAGCUAAUGAACAAAAUCUAAGGAUCUGAGGAUCUGUCCGAUGGAGAGAGUGGGAAUUGCCGAAGAGACAUGGAUUUUAGCAACACUCGGAGGAACAAAACAGAAGUAGGCAGCAUUUGCACUCAGGCACACAUCUUCUGAGUGAUUAACCCCUUUUAAAUCUACAAGUUUUCUCUGGUAAUAUAUUGCUGAUACAGUUUGUCACAUCUUUAUGGUGAUAAGGUUGUAGAUAACAGCAAUUUCACACCAAAUGUAGGUACAAUGGAAGUGCCUUGUAAGGUUCACACCCCAUAUAUCAGUGCAUUUGAAAACCCAAGUCAUUUUGGAUAUUAUCUUGCAUUUUAAUGUGUUAGUUAAAUAUGGUUCAUGAUCUGAAAUUAAACAUCCUAGAGUUAUAUAGUAGAGGAUAAAAUAUUCAUCUCAUAAUUACAGAACUUAAAUAGAAAAGAUGAAAACCCAGUGACGUUAGACUUUGAAAGAAAGAAUUAAAAAAAAAGAUUGUAUUGUAAAGGAGUGGCCCUGCAAGUAACGCUCACUCUCAGAUUUUUAGAUACUGUAU
This is a non-coding RNA of Meleagris gallopavo (turkey), 669 nucleotides long. The record is from RefSeq and is a predicted model, not a curated record. Lineage: Eukaryota; Metazoa; Chordata; Aves; Galliformes; Phasianidae.